UACGUAGGGUGCAAGCGUUAAUCGGAAUUACUGGGCGUAAAGCGUGCGCAGGCGGUUUUGUAAGUCUGUCGUGAAAUCCCCGGGCUCAACCUGGGAAUUGCGAUGGAGACUGCAAGGCUAGAAUCUGGCAGAGGGGGGUAGAAUUCCACGUGUAGCAGUGAAAUGCGUAGAGAUGUGGAGGAACACCGAUGGCGAAGGCAGCCCCCUGGGUCAAGAUUGACGCUGAUGCGCGAAAGCGUGGGGAGCAAACAGG
RNAcentral lists this ribosomal RNA (253 nucleotides) under uncultured bacterium. Its description in RNAcentral is "partial 16S ribosomal RNA". It matches the Rfam family "Bacterial small subunit ribosomal RNA", at positions 524 to 776 of the family's 1533-position model. The record is from RNAcentral.